GAUGAACGCUGGCGGCGUGCCUAAUACAUGCAAGUCGAGCGAACAGACGAGGAGCUUGCUCCUCUGACGUUAGCGGCGGACGGGUGAGUAACACGUGGAUAACCUACCUCUAAGACUGGGAUAACUUCGGGAAACCGGAGCUAAUACCGGAUAAUAUAUUGAACCGCAUGGUUCAAUAGUGAAAGACGGUUUUGCUGUCACUUGUAGAUGGAUCCGCGCCGCAUUAGCUAGUUGGUAAGGUAACGGCUUACCAAGGCAACGAUGCGUAGCCGACCUGAGAGGGUGAUCGGCCACACUGGAACUGAGACACGGUCCAGACUCCUACGGGAGGCAGCAGUAGGGAAUCUUCCGCAAUGGGCGAAAGCCUGACGGAGCAACGCCGCGUGAGUGAUGAAGGUCUUCGGAUCGUAAAACUCUGUUAUUAGGGAAGAACAAAUGUGUAAGUAACUAUGCACGUCUUGACGGUACCUAAUCAGAAAGCCACGGCUAACUACGUG
RNAcentral lists this ribosomal RNA (497 nucleotides) under uncultured bacterium. RNAcentral describes it as "partial 16S ribosomal RNA". It matches the Rfam family "Bacterial small subunit ribosomal RNA", at positions 28 to 507 of the family's 1533-position model. The record is from RNAcentral.